Molecule: non-coding RNA, 3944 nt
Organism: Heterocephalus glaber (naked mole-rat)
Lineage: Eukaryota; Metazoa; Chordata; Mammalia; Rodentia; Bathyergidae
Source: RefSeq, a predicted model, not a curated record
GGCGUCCGGCGGGCGGCGGUUCUCCUCUCUCCGAUCCUUUCUGCCGCCGGAGCCCCGCGAACUUCCCCGCUGUCCCAGAGAGUGAGACUGCUUCUCCGGUCCGGGGCUGCUCCUCCCUUUCAGAAGUGUCUGCAGUUCCGUGACAGUCUUGGCUGAAUGGUGUCUAGUUAGACUUUUAACCCUUGGAAAUGGAUCCCCCUGCCCGCAUUAGUUCAGAGGGCAAGUUUUAUCGCCCUAUGAAAGGAAGGCCAUAUUUUUAUUUUACUAUGCAAAUAGAAAGUUUUUAUUGUCCAGUGAACAUUUCUUCCUCCACAGCUACAGCCAGGAGGGAGAGCUGUACACUUUCCAGUAACGAGGCUUGUAAAUCCUGUGGAAUCGGAGCCCAGCAUGUGUAACCUGAGGCUGUGCCUUACAAGGUCUUACUCCAGUCCACAUGGAAAAUUACUCGCGAAGAUGUACCCAGAGCCAUCUCUGGCUCCUUGGCCCUUCCCUUGCUGCUUCCAGUUUUGACUGAACAAAUCCUUUUUUUUUUUUUUUUUUUUAAAUAUUCUCACAUCUUAGAUAGCCCGUGGUUUAAUCUGUUAAAAUAAGCAGGCUCAAAAGCUCAAAUUAAGCCAGAAGUUUAACAAUUUUGCCUCCAACAUUCCAUAUUGUGAAUUAUUUUAUGGAAGAAGUGAGAAUCAACCUUAGUAGCAUUCUGCCAUCCUUCAUCUAAAUCUUCCUGAAAUAACAACGAAAAACAAAAGUGUUUGGGCAAAUACUCAUCCAACUCGGAACCUUUGAAAUUAAAAUUAUUAAAAAGCGAUUUCCAUUAUGAUCACAUUUGUCUAAAAUUAGCAUGAUGAUAAGCACUGCAUAAUAAGAUUUUUUAAAAGGGAGAAAAAUGUCGUCUGGGGUAUGACAUUUUAGAAAAAUCAUUUCUUGUGCCCAGAUCUAAGCCAGUUAUUACUGUGUUUUGAAGAUUUGGUCUCGAUUUUUUUUUUAAAGAAAAGGAGAAUUGGAGAAAAUUCAGAGAAGACGAGAAAUAUUAAAGAAGUGGGAAGUAUGACCUGUGAGAAGAUUAAAACAAGGUCUAUUUAGUCUGAAGAAGAAAAGGUUAAGAAUUGGAUUCUUGAAUAACGUCUUUCAGUGGUGGCAAGUGCAGUUCCGUAAAAUGGCAAAAAGCAAACAGCAUCAAUCUUCAAAGUUAUACUAGUCUGAUAGGCCUAGUUAUUCUUGUGGCAGAAUUCCAAACCUGCCUCUGACAAACUCCUUGAACUUGAUUCCUUGCUUCUCCAGUAUCUUCAAGAAUCUGCAUGAAUUUCUAGUCUCCAGUCCCCUAUCUUUCCCCCAUGCACAUGUAGGGCUCUCCAUAUCGCAAGUGUGUAGGAGUAAACUGCGCAGUCCACCAAUAAUUGCAGGUUACUAUGAUAGUCCUUCUUUUCUUUUGAGUCAUGAGAUUAGGACUCUAUAAAGUGAGUGUUUCUUUGGGAUUUUCAAAAUACCCAGACACUUCAAUUGCAGUCUGAAAGUGCCCUCAUUCUGAAACCAAAUCUUUCUUGCCUUCUUAGUUUCCAGACAUCUGCUGAACAUUUCCCCUUAGAUGUUCCACUGGCUGAAAUGCAUCAUGUCUUUAACUCAUCAAAUCUAAUUCCCACUCCCAGCUUUUCAUCUGUGUUAGUGACACUACUCCUUUCUAAUUUGUAUGGCUUUGGGCUUUUAUUUUUUUAAUUUUGUUUUUUACUUUUCUUCUUCCCUCAUACCUGCCAACUCACAGAAUUGGCUUCCAAAUCUUGUCCUCUUUUUUUUUUCCCUUCACUUUUCAUCUCCACAUGUCCUUUUUCACUCUCACUGUUAGCUCACAAGUAACACACACCUGAAUAUAUCCUAAUGGUGCUAUUUGAGCAGGUCUCUAACUGGCCACCUUCUAUAUAGACUUUCCCUGCCCCAACACAAUACUGCCGUACACUACCACUAAAAUCAUGAUGCUCAGAUAGCAUUUUGAUUUCUUCAACCGCAAACUUCAAAGAUUUUAUAAAGGGUUUGAAAAUAAUCGAAAUUACUUCACCUAGAUUCAAAAUUUUUUGCUAUCAAACUAAACUAACUCUAUAUGCUAUACCCAACCAAUAUAGUUUACUGUAUCAUCUCUCAAAGCAGAUCAAAUACUUUGACAUUUUUUAUUCUCUAGAGUUUGUAAAGGAAUCCUUGUCUUCAUUUGGGUUCCUCCAAAGGCCAUCUCUAAACCAGCAUUCAGUGAGCAGCAGUUUGUGAGGUAUUUCACUGAAACAAGGUAGGUGAAUGUAAAGUGAUAUAGGAAAGGGAAGACAUCCAGUAGUAGGUGCAUUUAUAUAUCUAACAUAGUGGGUGAGGAGUGUAGUCCACAAAAUUGAUGUACAUUUGCCUAUCAUAAAUAUGCUGGCCAAGAGAGAACUAAGGUAAAUAUAUCCCCAACAUCCAUCAGUCUCUGAAUUGAGGGCUGAGGGACACUAGUUAAUUCCUGGGCAUUCCCAUUCUCAUGUGCUCAAAAAGAUAUGGCCACCAUCCAAUAAUAAUGUAAACCUGAUGCCAAGAAGUCAUGUUGGCAUGCUUAGAAAUGUUAAAGAGAUGUGAGGAGAAAUAAGAGAAUUAUCAAUCACAUCAGCUAAGUCACCAUGCCUUUGUUCAUGUUAUUCCCCUACAUUCCUCCCUUUCUAAUUUCUAUUGUAUAGGUGCCAUACGCUCUGCAACAGCCUAUUGAAGUACCUUGUUAACCUCAGUCAGGCAUGCUUAUAUGGAAUCCUGCCUCAGUUAUAUUAUUUAUGAAAUCCUUAGACCUACCAAAUGAUGUCAGAUGUAAAACUAAAGUCAGCCAAGUUCAAAUAAGAAGAGAAGGCCAGGAUGACAGAGGCAGCCAGAGAAUGUGAAUCGAACUCAGGACCUUGCACCUGUGAGGCAGGUGGUUGAAACCAUUGAGCUAAAUCCCUGACCCUGGAAUUUACAUUUUGAUAGGCUCCUUUUAGUGCUGUACCUGCACUAUAGGUUAUGGAGUGAUCCUCUCCCAACAGAGGUUAUGGAGUGAUCUCGUCUGCAGAGGAGAAGGACAAAAAGGCAGAGGAAUCCCUCAUUUCAAAAGAGAUUAAGGAGUUGUGAAAACAGUAUCAAAUUUUGUAGAAAAGCCGCACUAUCAGAGAACAGUAUGUUGAAUGAGCAGAUUUGCACCAGGGAAAGGAAAAUGGCAUGCGCAUUGAAGGCAUUGGGUUUAGGAAUUUAAAGUGUUGUACCAGUCUUUGGAAGUCUCUUAUCAGGGCUUCCAGAGCACGACUGACAAUGUGAUAGGGUGCUGAGUCAUGUCAACUUGUAUUUACUGUGUGUGUCCUAUCCCAUAAUUCACUCUGUUAUAAUUGGAUGUGUGAAAUACGGUCCUUCAAUAUGCAUGAAUCUUCAAGGCAUUCCAGGUGAAGAAAGGUUUCUGUAGGCCAUGCAGGAGGAUUUGGCAGAAAUGUGUCCUGGUUAGGGAUUUGGGGAUUUUUUUAGGGCAGCCUCCGGGGUCUUUGUUUUUCUCAUCCCUGCCUCCAGAGAAUGGGCCUCAGGACAAAGGGGAAGGGGGUAAUGACACUUGAUCCUGGUUGCCCAGGUUCAGGUGAGUGGAAGGGAAGUUGUCCAUUGUAUAGUGUGAUAAUUUGAUAUGAAUGUAUACAAUGUGUGAUGAUCAAAUCAGGUGGCUAAUACUUCUAUUUCCUACAUUUUAAAAAUUUUGGACUAACACAUAGUACAGUAAUUGUACAUAUUGAUGAAGUACAGUAGGAUAUUUCAGUGCAUGUGUUCAAUAUGUAUUAAUGAAAUUUGGGUAAUUAAUGUUUCUACCAGGUUAAUUAAUGUAUCAUUACUUUGUGUAUUUUGAAGGUUCUUCUAGUUAUUAAAAAAAUAUGUAAAGACUACUAUAGAAUACUAGAACUUAAUACUUCUAUCUAACUAUAUUUUGGUGU